RNAcentral lists this unclassified non-coding RNA (273 nucleotides) under Hevea brasiliensis (rubber tree). Lineage: Eukaryota; Viridiplantae; Streptophyta; Magnoliopsida; Malpighiales; Euphorbiaceae. The record is from RNAcentral.
CUCCAUUUCCCCACCGCUACCCGUCUCUCCUCCCCUCCUCGCCGAUCGUCUCGCCGGCUCCGUUCUCCGCCGCUGCCGAAGGAAUCCCCUCCCCGCCUCCGAUCAAUCGAAAGUUAUUAGAAAAUGGCUGAGGAGGAUAUUCAACCUCUUGUCUGCGACAAUGGAACUGGAAUGGUCAAGGCUGGAUUUGCUGGUGAUGAUGCACCCAGGGCUGUGUUUCCUAGUAUUGUAGGCAGACCUCGUCACACCGGUGUCAUGGUCGGGAUGGGCCAA